AAAGCAUUAAGGUAAGCUGAAGGUUUUGGAAUAUGUGCAGCUUCAACAUUGCUUCAGAGAAGCUAAUUUCACACUGAGUAAUGAAGGAUUGAAGUUUGCAGGACAGAUUUGGUAUGAUGAAUUUGAGCAGCUUCUAGCAAAACAAAGGCAGGCACAAAUGAUCUUAAUAGCAAGACAAAUGCGUUGGUUUUCGGAUUAGGCAAAUCAAAAGUAGUUUUUGUUGUAUACCAUGAAUUGUAUGUACAUCACAAUGGUGUAGGAAGUUAGAAAAUUUCUAAAGUUUAAGUAAACUAAUUCAGAAAGAUGUAAUUAGACUAAUUAUACAUACAAUUGUAUAUCCACACUUCAGAUCUUUGCA
This 358-nucleotide long non-coding RNA is filed under the name Nicotiana tabacum (common tobacco). RNAcentral describes it as "long non-coding RNA (NTAB_LNC010153)". Lineage: Eukaryota; Viridiplantae; Streptophyta; Magnoliopsida; Solanales; Solanaceae. The record is from RNAcentral.